GGCUCAGAUUGAACGCUGGCGGCAUGCCUUACACAUGCAAGCCGAACGGCAGCGGACCUUCGGGUGCCGGCGAGUGGCGAACGGGUGAGUAAUAUAUCGGAACGUACCUUUCAGUGGGGGAUAACGUAGCGAAAGUUACGCUAAUACCGCAUAUUCUGUGAGCAGGAAAGCAGGGGAUCGCAAGACCUUGCGCUGAUUGAGCGGCCGAUAUCAGAUUAGCUAGUUGGUGAGGUAAAGGCUCACCAAGGCGACGAUCUGUAGCGGGUCUGAGAGGAUGAUCCGCCACACUGGAACUGAGACACGGUCCAGACUCCUACGGGAGGCAGCAGUGGGGAAUUUUGGACAAUGGGCGCAAGCCUGAUCCAGCCAUGCCGCGUGAGUGAAGAAGGCCUUCGGGUUGUAAAGCUCUUUCGGCCGGGAAGAAAUCGCACGGGUUAAUACCCUGUGUGGAUGACGGUACCGGAAUAAGAAGCACCGGCUAACUACGUG
RNAcentral lists this ribosomal RNA (489 nucleotides) under uncultured bacterium. RNAcentral describes it as "bacterial SSU rRNA". It matches the Rfam family "Bacterial small subunit ribosomal RNA", at positions 21 to 507 of the family's 1533-position model. The record is from RNAcentral.